Mytilus californianus (California mussel) is the source of this 881-nucleotide long non-coding RNA. RefSeq lists it as uncharacterized. The transcript has 2 exons. Lineage: Eukaryota; Metazoa; Mollusca; Bivalvia; Mytilida; Mytilidae. The record is from RefSeq and is a predicted model, not a curated record.
UUGAUUUGAGCGCUAUCGUACAUUUCUUCUAUUGGUCAGUACUUUUGGCGGUUUAAUUCCUUUGUUCUAGAUCUUAUGGGAAGACAUCUUGUGGUCAACAAUUAUAUAUUUACCUGUCUGCAAUUUAACAACUUAAAGAAAUUAAUAUCUUAAAUAACAAUUCUCUGAUUGGAAAGUUUCUUAUAUAAGAAUUUAUUGGCAAUUAUAUGCACCAGACUUCUUAUUAUGAAAUUCACUUUGAAGUUCCAGUAAAUACGUGCAUCAAACAUACUACCAACUUUACCAGAUUACCAGAUUACCAGAUUACCAGCCACUUCCGAUAGUUUAAUGAAGGAACACAGCAUUUACAUUCAGCAUAGACUAGCGAUAUUUUAUUUAAUUUUCCCUAUACCUUCGGUGGUCAAACACUUUACAGCAUUCCCGACGCGAUUGGGAGUAGUACCUCUGGCCAAGGGAAGCCAGUCGAAAUGGUACGGAAUUGCCAGUAAAAUGUCGUCUAUAUUUGGAAAUAAAGACGUUAAUUGAACACAAAGUUUACACAGAACACAACUGACAAUAAUUUAUUGUAUAAUUCGUUCCACUGUGCAAGAGUGCUAACACAUGAUGGCAGAAUAAUUUUAACAAACAUUGUAACAACAAAAACAUUGUAUUUUUAUUUUUAAUAUUUUUUUUUAUUUUAAUAGUUUACUUCCAUAUAUACUUACUUUCACUUUCUCUUUCAAUUGCUAUUUAUAACGUUACUCACCAUAGCAACAUUGUGACGUUUUAAUUUUCUCAACCCGAUUUUGUACCUCAGCAUGAUUUUGUGUUUUGUAUUCUAUCCUGAUGACGGUGGCCUAGCCACCGAAACAUGUCGAUCUCAAUAAAUUACUGGAGCAUUC